Molecule: ribosomal RNA, 321 nt
Filed under: uncultured Cryomonadida
Lineage: Eukaryota; Cercozoa; Thecofilosea
Description: SSU rRNA
Rfam family: Eukaryotic small subunit ribosomal RNA (bases 55-321)
Source: RNAcentral
GAUUUCUGGUACGGCGCGCUUGGCCCGCCAGGGUUACCUGGUUGUGUGCUGGUGCGCGCCUGCCAUCCUUUUGCAUGUCAGUUCUAUCCUUUACUGGUGUGAACUGGUUUGCAAAUCUUUUACUUUGAAAAAAUUAGAGUGUUUAAAGCAGGCUUGCGCUAUGAAUACAUUAGCAUGGAAUAAUAAUUUAGGACUUUGGUUCUAUUUUGUUGGUUUCUAGGACUAAAGUAAUGAUUGAUAGGGAUAGUUGGGGGUGCUAGUAUUCAGCGGCCAGAGGUGAAAUUCUUGGAUUCGCUGAAGACUAACUUAUGCGAAAGCAUU